Molecule: ribosomal RNA, 476 nt
Filed under: uncultured bacterium
Lineage: Bacteria
Description: partial 16S ribosomal RNA
Rfam family: Bacterial small subunit ribosomal RNA
Source: RNAcentral
GAUGAACACUGGCGGCGUGCUUAACACAUGCAAGUCGAGCGAGUGAGUUCUUCGGAACGAUCUAGCGGCGGACGGGUGAGUAACACGUGGGCAACCUGCCUCAUAGAGGGGAAUAGCCUCCCGAAAGGGAGAUUAAUACCGCAUAAAAUUAUCGAGUGGCAUCACAUGAUAAUCAAAGGAGUAAUCCGCUAUGAGAUGGGCCCGCGGCGCAUUAGCUAGUUGGUGAGGUAACGGCUCACCAAGGCGGCGAUGCGUAGCCGACCUGAGAGGGUGAUCGGCCAAAUUGGGACUGAGACACGGCCCAGACUCCUACGGGAGGCAGCAGUGGGGAAUAUUGCACAAUGGGGGAAACCCUGAUGCAGCAACGCCGCGUGAGUGAUGAAGGUCUUCGGAUUGUAAAGCUCUGUCUUUGGGGACGAUAAUGACGGUACCCAAGGAGGAAGCCACGGCUAACUACGUGCCAGCAGCCGCCGUAA